GCUUGUUAUUGUUAUACAGUGGGCAUUCUGCUGAGGACGUCCAUGGCUACGCUAUAUCUUCUCCCAGAGUUUGUGUUUUUAUGCCCAGAUGUAUGAUCCACUGGCGUUUGCUUUCAGCACAGGGUGAGAGAGAUGGGCAGAGUCGAUCUUGCGCACGUGGACCACCAGUUUUCCCAGCGCCCUUUUUCCAUGGCCUGUGUUUUCUCCAGCCUAGGUUAUUGGCUCCUUUGCCCAAGAUCCAGUGGCUGAAGGUUUUUGGGGUUGUUUCUGCACCCUCUAUUCUGUUCCCUGUGUCCAGCUGUCUGUGUGCGUGCAUUGGUACCAUUCUGUCUCUCAUGGUCUGCCCAGGGAGGGAAGUGAGGAAGUCUUCCCAUUCCUUAGGAGACAGUCUGAGUCUCCCGAGGAUGUUCCCCCCGGGUGUCCUGUUGUCUCACUGAGAGAGCCAUUCAUUCACUUCCAUUGGCUCCGGGGUUUGUACUGGGUCUUGAGGUGAGUUCAGGUCAUGACUGUUGUAUGUGUGCUAUGUGUGUUUGUGUUUGCAGGACCUGAAUACACCUGGAACCAAGAGGAAGUGGCGUGGGAGUCCGUUUCCGCCUGGUACCUGGAGGGCGGAGACAGUGCCACCAAUUACCUGGCACACAGUGUAGAUGAAAGUUAUUUGACCUUUUCCACAUGGUGCAACUUCUCAGCGUUCCCCGAGCCUGCCUGGAGUCCGGGCUUCCCAGCUCCAGUACGUCUAGCAAACCUGAAGACUCCAUCCAGAGAGAACACUGGUGAACCUGCUCCUCAGUGGCACAGGACAUGACUGGGCUCCCCUGCUGGCUGGGAGGCUAACAAUGGUAGACCCAGUGCCCUUGGGCCAUUGCAAAAGCAGCUCUACCAUAAGCAAGAGCACUGGUUCUUGGGUAAGUUUUUCUGCUAUUUUUCCUCUUUUUACCCUGUCUAACUUCAAUAAGGACAGAGUCAUGACAUAAUGGCCUAGGGUUCAAUAGAAGUACAAUGUACUAUAGAAUAACUCUUUUCAAAUACCUGCACGUUUCUAUUUUGAAAAAGCUCACGAGGUAGCAUUAACAGCACAUGUAUUUUAAAUACUUCUGUCAGCUUCCUGCUGACCAAUAAUAUCACCAAGAACAACUAGAAAAGGUAGGUAGAACACUACUAAGGUGUGCUUUGUCUUUGUGGAACUAGGGAAUGAACCCCCUGGCCUUUGCAGUGAGCUACAUUCCCAGCCCUUUUAUUUAUUUACUUACCUAUUUAUCUGUCUAUUUAUUUAUUUAUUUUUUUUGGAGACAGAGUCUUCCUGAGUUGCCCAGGCUGGGCGCAAAUUUGCAAUUUUCUUGACACAGUUUCUCCAAGUGUUGAGAUCAUGAGCAUAUAACACCUUGCCUGCAUCUAAGUACCUAUUUUAAAGCACCAGAAACCUAGCAGGGCAUCCAUAGCUUGGGGACCAAAACCCCAGAGAAAAGAAAAACACAGUAAUCAGGAAGAAACCUUCACAUGGUUCUAACUCUUAUGGCAUUUGCCAAAUGAGCAACUCUGAGAAGCUGGACAUUUGUGAAAAAUGUCUACCAUAUGAGCAGAUCACAGGACAAAAAAAGUGGAUGUGGAAUCUAGCAGGGAGAAAGGACUCUACUUUUAGCUGGAACCUGAAAAGGACUAUGUGCUGGGAGCAGGGGAAGCAGGAAAUGGGCACCUUCCAGUUUCUGCAGCUCAGCUGGGCAGUGCUAAACCCAUGGGUAGGUUCAGGUGAUCAGUCUCCACCUGACUUGUUUACUGGAAAGAAAAGCACCAGUGAGACCCUUAAAUGUUUAGGGUUUUUCAUACCGAAUGUCUGACAAUCAAAAAUGAUCAAGCAUAACAGGAAAUAAGGUGGAAUGGCUGAAGGCCAAGAGAAAAACCAGAAAAUACAAACUGACCCACAGAAGAGCUAGAUUUUGGGGAGACCUUGGGCCCAGAGACUAAAUUAUCUGUGGUUAGUAAGUUCAAGAAAUUACAUGAUGUGAUGGAGCAUUCCAGUGAAAGAAUAGAAGCAUAUGUUUUAAAGAUCAGUUCCAGUGCUGAAAAUUUUAAUAACUGAAGCUAAGAACUCAAUAUAUGGACUGAAUAAUGCAUCAGACAGGCGAAAGGGCCAGCAUUCACCUCCGGGAAUGUGAAGGUGCUGUGCUGUGGUGUGCAGGGGUCUUCAGGGAUCCCGGUGAUGUUCCCUUCCUUGAAUCUGGCUCUGUGGCUGUGUUUUCUUUAUAAUUUGCCCUUCCAUUGGUGGACGUGUUAUUUAGGUUCUCUUAUGCAGGUGUGCUGACUGACAGUGCCUGCUCGUUCAAACACGUGACAGCUGGAUAGAGACGUGCUGAGUGAAGUUCCUGCCGACCUUGUUCCAAAUGGCGUAGGCUGUUACGUUGGAGAGGUUGGUGCUACCUUCCCGAGAUGGGGUCUAACAGCCCGCUACGGUCUUCUCAACACUCUUCAACGAGAAGCACCAUUGCUACAUGUGUGAGGUUGACUUUCUCAGGCUGGAAGCAAGACUCAGUUGGCAGUUUCCAGUUCUCACCUGGUCCUGGUUCUUCCACAUUACUGAUCCAGGUGUUUGCCUUCCACACUGCAUUGUGGUAGCCACUCGACCAGUAGGCACAACCUGCUGGACUCCUGCCACCACGUCAUGUGCUCACGGAUGGGGCAGGUGUUUGUAGUGGGCUCUCAGUCACAGCAUGACUCCAUAGCACUUGUGCCUGCUUGCUCUAAACCAAACAAUUAGACAGUUCACAGAGAUUAUUGUGUUUUCCUUACGCUGCUGCCCAUCAGCUUUUCAAAAAUUAUAUUUAGGAGGAUUUAAAAAGAGGGAGGAUUGUGAAGUGCUGUGUACAUGCACUAAGUCCCUGAGAGGAAUGUGAUCAUCAUGCAAUACAAACAUAUCUCUGUGUAUAUAUCUGUCUCCAGGAGAUGCAGAGAGGGAGAGGGAGGGGAGGAAGUGGGUACAAAAAAAAAGAAUUAAGAAAUGUCAUGUACACAUACUAACUCCCCACUACAAACAUGAGCGAAACUAGAUUAUGAACACAAUUUUUAAAACUGACACAUAUUCAAAGUCCACCUGAAAUUUUGCUAACUUUUUUUUUUUUUUUUUUUUUUUUUUGGUACCGGGGAUGGAACUCGGGUUCUUGCAUUUGUGAGGCAGGUGGUAGAAACACUGAGCUAAAUUCCUGGCCCUGCUAAUUUAUUUUUUGUAAUUAUU
Molecule: long non-coding RNA, 3226 nt
Filed under: Heterocephalus glaber (naked mole-rat)
Lineage: Eukaryota; Metazoa; Chordata; Mammalia; Rodentia; Bathyergidae
Description: lncRNA (ENSHGLG00000049609.1)
Source: RNAcentral